UCGUGUUGCUCAUAUAAUAUUUAAUAAGGGAUCCACUCAAUGCCUUUUUCUCCUCAUCUGCCUCAUUCUUUUUUUUCUUUUAUGACUUCCAGAUGGAUACUUUCUAGCCGAUGACCUUGCUGAAAUUGAAAAGAACAAUUAGAUUUUAAAUUAGCACACAGCUAAUUAGAAUAUUAGAUUAAUUAUAGAUCUUCAUAUAAUAUAAGGAUAAAAUCUGGUACCUCCUCUCUGUAAUCUAGUCUAGCUAUGUGGUCUCAACAAUUUAAUCACCCAGCCAGCAAUUUCCUAUUCACCUGUUGAUUUGGAGAAUCGGGAUUAGAAUAAAAAACAGGAAGAAGAACGUGAGAUUGAGAACAUGAGGGCAGCCGGAGCCGGCAGCCGGACAUGAGGUGAGAACGGCGGACAAACGUGAGGUGAGAACGUGAACGCAGCGAUGCACAGUACCUGUUGCAGUCGGCGUUCGUCACGAAGCCACGCACUCAGAGGCAGAGCGCAGCUAAACAGAGUAGAAGGUGGCGUUAGUCGAG
Molecule: long non-coding RNA, 527 nt
Filed under: Hordeum vulgare
Lineage: Eukaryota; Viridiplantae; Streptophyta; Magnoliopsida; Poales; Poaceae
Description: long non-coding RNA (HVUL_LNC017709)
Source: RNAcentral